This 253-nucleotide ribosomal RNA is filed under the name uncultured bacterium. RNAcentral's name for it is "partial 16S ribosomal RNA". It matches the Rfam family "Bacterial small subunit ribosomal RNA", at positions 524 to 775 of the family's 1533-position model. The record is from RNAcentral.
UACGAAGGGGGCUAGCGUUGCUCGGAAUCACUGGGCGUAAAGCGCACGUAGGCGGACUCUUAAGUCAGGGGUGAAAUCCUGGAGCUCAACUCCAGAACUGCCUUUGAUACUGAGAAGCUUGAGUCUGGGAGAGGUGAGUGGAACUGCGAGUGUAGAGGUGAAAUUCGUAGAUAUUCGCAAAGAACACCAGUGGCGAAGGCGGCUCACUGGCCCGGUACUGACGCUGAGGUGCGAAAGCGUGGGGAGCAACAGG